GCCAGCCUCACCAAGUUGGGUUUUAACAUGUUAAGUCAGUGGUGUGAAAAUCAGGCCCCAUCUCAUAAAUACGAUAUCAAAUAGUAUGACGGGGCCGCCACCUGGGCCACAAAAUUGAGUGCACUCAGUAAACAGUGCUGCUAAUAGAAACAGUGUAACGUUAGGAACAGAGGGACACACAGAAUAGGAACGAGCAGGAAGAAGGGAGCCCAGCUGCCCUGGCAUCUAGGGCCAGCCCGACCCCGAAACCGAGACGCUGCGUUUCUCUGACAUCUUCCUGGCUCUCUUGUGUAUCCCACUGACGUCUUCGUGUUCUCCGUAGAGAACCAGUACCCACAUGAUACGCAAGUCCCAAUUGCAGACUCCUCUCCUCAGACCUGCCUUGUGCUCACAUUGUCCUACACGUGAUCGCCCUUCUCCCAUGCACUGAAGAGCACAUCACAGAGUGUGGGCGAGGCAUGUAUUUCAGCACUGAGCCCAGCUCCAUGGUGCGUCAAGCUUUUGUUUUGUGGGAGAUGCAUAAAGUGUGCAAAGGACGCAGGUGCAGAAGAGCGCCAGAUCUGUUUCCGGGACUGUUGACUCCCAGCCUGGAGAGGAGAGCAGCAGGCUAACCUGACUGGUCUAUCUUAACUGAGAUCCAUUUAACAACCGGGAACAUUCUUUUGGCUUUGAGUCUUUUCGA
This is a long non-coding RNA of Chinchilla lanigera (long-tailed chinchilla), 682 nucleotides long. RefSeq lists it as uncharacterized. The record is from RefSeq and is a predicted model, not a curated record. The transcript has 3 exons. NCBI's taxonomy places the organism in Eukaryota, Metazoa, Chordata, Mammalia, Rodentia, Chinchillidae.